AUGCCAGCGGAGCAAGCCACCCUUGAGCCCACCGGCUCCAACCCAAUCAACUACAUUGGAACCAAGGCUCGGGAGGCGCCUAUGUGGUGGCAUGCAAAUCUUCGUCAAGAUCAUAAACAUGUGAUUUCAAAUGAGGACCAGAAGACGGCAACCCUUGGCGGGAUCCUAGCCGAGGAAAUCCACAAGACCCCCGACAAGACCCUUUCCGGGACUGACUACAACGCCACGGCAAUACCCUUGCUGGGCCCCCGGCAAGACCCUUGCCAAGGGCAUCAGCAGGGCCACUGCCAGGCCCGCCCAGUCAAGACUCCACCACUGUCCCCAAGAAGCUGCUAG
This 336-nucleotide ribosomal RNA is filed under the name Triticum aestivum (bread wheat). RNAcentral's name for it is "partial small subunit ribosomal RNA". Lineage: Eukaryota; Viridiplantae; Streptophyta; Magnoliopsida; Poales; Poaceae. The record is from RNAcentral.